Molecule: transfer RNA, 75 nt
Filed under: uncultured Candidatus Planktophila sp.
Lineage: Bacteria; Bacillati; Actinomycetota; Actinomycetes; Candidatus Nanopelagicales; Candidatus Nanopelagicaceae
Description: tRNA-Arg
Rfam family: tRNA
About the family: Transfer RNA (tRNA) molecules are approximately 80 nucleotides in length. Their secondary structure includes four short double-helical elements and three loops (D, anti-codon, and T loops). Further hydrogen bonds mediate the characteristic L-shaped molecular structure. tRNAs have two regions of fundamental functional importance: the anti-codon, which is responsible for specific mRNA codon recognition, and the 3' end, to which the tRNAs corresponding amino acid is attached (by aminoacyl-tRNA synthetases). tRNAs cope with the degeneracy of the genetic code in two manners: having more than one tRNA (with a specific anti-codon) for a particular amino acid; and 'wobble' base-pairing, i.e. permitting non-standard base-pairing at the 3rd anti-codon position.
Source: RNAcentral
GCUCCCGUAGCUCAGAUGGAUAGAGCGGCGGACUUCUAAUCCGUAGGUCGUAGGUUCGAUUCCUACCGGGGGCGC